AAAUACCAAAAUUAGCCAGGCAUGGUGGUGUGCACCUGUAGUCCCAGCUACUUGGGAGGUUGAGACAGGAGAAUAAUAGCUUGAACCCGGAGGCGGAGGUUGCAAUGAGCUGAGAUCGCACCACUGCCCUCCAGCCUGGGUUGAAAAUGCUAUCUUCUUCAUUUAAAAUGAUAAUUUCAUUUCUUCCUCUUCCAGCUUUUCAGAUUCAUAUCUCAAGUGUUUAGGUAUUCAGCUUUUUAUUUUUAGUAGAGACAAGAGUUUGACCAUGUUGGCUGGGCUGGUCUCAAACUCCUGACCUCAAGUGAUCUGCCUGCCUUGGCCUCCCAAAGUGCUGGGAUUAUAGGUGUGAGCCACUGUGCCUGGCCUAGUUUGAGGAUUUCUAAUUAGCCUUACCAAUUAGCAAGUAGAGGCCAAAGUCCUUCUGCAGAGGAAAAGGACCACAGGAAAGGGAGAGAAAGGCCAUUAAGAUAAAUAGCAGGCGAACCUCUAUAGGAAAACAGAGACAUGAAGGUGAGGUCCCCCGUCUCUGGUAAACUCAUGGUUCAAUCAUCAC
This 553-nucleotide long non-coding RNA is filed under the name Homo sapiens (human). RNAcentral describes it as "non-protein coding lnc-VIM-2:1". Lineage: Eukaryota; Metazoa; Chordata; Mammalia; Primates; Hominidae. The record is from RNAcentral.